Long non-coding RNA from Numida meleagris (helmeted guineafowl), 1441 nucleotides. RefSeq lists it as uncharacterized. The record is from RefSeq and is a predicted model, not a curated record. Lineage: Eukaryota; Metazoa; Chordata; Aves; Galliformes; Numididae. The transcript has 3 exons.
GACUCCAAUUGCAGCUUAAUUGCUAUCAAUCCUGUUAAUUGAAUUGGGCUCUCCUGUGACACUUGGCACUGAAUGAAGGAGGGAAACAGGAAAGGAAAAAAAGGAGAAAUCUGGGAAACAAGCCCAGCUGACCCAAGGGAUGUGGCUGUUGAGAGACGCAGAAGCACGUGGCCCCUGAGCUGGGCAGAAUUGAAGCUGAGAAAGGUACAAAAGUAUCUUUGCAGCAUCUCUUGCUCCCAGCUGCUUUCCUCAGUGGCACAGCACUCCUUCAGCUUUAAAUCAAGAUUACCAAGAUGCUGUAGCAAAUCCAUUGCUAAAGCACCAGGAUCAUCUCUCAUACAGCAGAUCUGAUCCCGCAAUGCAAAAUCCCAAGGAAAUGAAUGGGCUGACUGGAUUCCAGUCCAGGAUUGAGACUAUAUUGUGUAAAUCCAUCAGUAAAGCAUCUACUGAGAAACCCUGUCCUAUGGAACAACAACCUUCAUAUUUCAUCAUUUCUUUGGGAGAGGCCCGAGGAGGGCUGCUUGAUCUUCCAAGUGCCAGGUGGGCUGAGAAAAUGGUUUUUCAUCAAUAACAUUGCUCUUUAUUCUGAAGACAAUGGGGAGUGACAGGGAAAGGAUGAGGAUUCUGCAAUAAGGUUUUUCUACACGAACUGUAAGAGCAAGCUUGAAAUCUUUCAACAGGACGUCAAGCCUGAUGUUUUUCAAGCUUGUCUGAAUGCUUACUGUUUAGAUUCAAAUAGGAUUGCUUUAAUACAAACAGUCCAGCUUCCAGAGGUCUUGACUGAUCCAGGCUUCUCAUUGUCUACUGGGACAAAAUAAUUAAAACAAAAUCCUUUCAGCUCUUUUUGAGAUAUGAAAUGGUAUUAGUGGUAUGCCAGAGUGAUAUCUCUGCCUUAUAAACCAUUCUAAAUAUGGGAAGAAUUCCCCUGUCUAUGUGUAAGGGAAAAUGAAACGAUCCGUUUGUAAUUUUCUUACCUUGACAAAAUGUAGGGAGUGACUCAAAUAUGUCCCAUCCUUAUGGAAAUUAAUUGUGUUAAUGGGAUGAUUAGAAUUUAAAGCUACUGUCAUCAAACUGGUUUUUGUGGCUAAUGAUGGUCCUUGGGAUGAUUAUGUCAUAAUGAAGGCGGAGAACCUGGUCAUCUAUAUAUACAUGAUCUGACCUGAGCCUUUUCUUUGGGUCUCAUUGAGCAAUGCGCUAAUAGAGUCAACGUAGGCAAACAGCUGCCACCCUCACCAUGAAAAUAGAAGGUGCUUCGGUGGUCCUUGCUCUGGCUUUUUUCUGCUUCUUCUCAGGUUAGUAACCUCUGAUGUUCUCUGUGCUGAAAUCUGGGACUGGUACAGCACUUAAAGGCGGUGAGAUAGAGGAUUAGAGAGUCCCUACUAUUUAAAACGAGCAGUGAUGUAACCUGAAGACCAUUUUUACUGUACUACUCGUGGGAUUG